RNAcentral lists this ribosomal RNA (487 nucleotides) under uncultured bacterium. RNAcentral's name for it is "partial 16S ribosomal RNA". It matches the Rfam family "Bacterial small subunit ribosomal RNA", at positions 28 to 507 of the family's 1533-position model. The record is from RNAcentral.
GACGAACGCUGGCGGCGUGCUUAACACAUGCAAGUCGAACGGAAAGGCCCCCAUCUUGGUGGGGGUGCUCGAGUGGCGAACGGGUGAGUAACACGUGGGUGAUCUGCCCUGUACUUCGGGAUAAGCUUGGGAAACUGGGUCUAAUACCGGAUAGGACCAUGGUUUAGUGUCUCAUGGUGGAAAGAUUAUUGUUUUGGUGCAGGAUGAGCUCGCGGCCUAUCAGCUUGUUGGUGGGGUAAUGGCCUACCAAGGCGUCGACGGGUAGCCGGCCUGAGAGGGUGGACGGCCACAUUGGGACUGAGAUACGGCCCAGACUCCUACGGGAGGCAGCAGUGGGGAAUAGUGCACAAUGGGCGCAAGCCUGAGGCAGCGACGCCGCGUGGGGGAUGACGGCCUUCGGGUUGUAAACUCCUUUCGUUAGGGACGAAGCCACGCUUUUGGGGUGUGGUGACGGUACCUUUGUUAAGAAGCACCGGCUAACUACGUG